RNAcentral lists this ribosomal RNA (260 nucleotides) under uncultured archaeon. Its description in RNAcentral is "partial 16S ribosomal RNA". It matches the Rfam family "Archaeal small subunit ribosomal RNA", at positions 748 to 1008 of the family's 1478-position model. The record is from RNAcentral.
CAGCCGUAAACAAUGUGCGUUAGGUGUGUCGGUAACCACGCGUUACUGAUGCGCCGAAGAGAAAUCGUGAAACGCACCACCUGGGAAGUACGGUCGCAAGGCUGAAACUUAAAGGAUUGGCGGGGGAGCACCACAACAGGUGGAGCCUGCGGUUUAAUUGGAUUCAACGCCGGACAUCUCACCGGAUAAGACAGCUGAAUGAUUGUCAAUCUGAAGGUUUUACAUGACUAGCUGAGAGGUGGUGCAUGGCGUCAGUGACU